Molecule: ribosomal RNA, 404 nt
Filed under: Actinomycetes bacterium
Lineage: Bacteria; Bacillati; Actinomycetota; Actinomycetes
Description: Actinobacteria bacterium partial 16S ribosomal RNA
Rfam family: Bacterial small subunit ribosomal RNA
Source: RNAcentral
UGGGGAAUAUUGGACAAUGGGCGCAAGCCUGAUCCAGCCAUGCCGCGUGAGUGAUGACGGCCUUAGGGUUGUAAAGCUCUUUUCUCCGGGACGAUAAUGACGGUACCGGAGGAAUAAGCCCCGGCUAACUUCGUGCCAGCAGCCGCGGUAAUACGAAGGGGGCUAGCGUUGCUCGGAAUCACUGGGAGUAAAGGGCGCGUAGGCGGCGUUUUAAGUCGGGGGUGAAAGACUGUGGCUCAACCACAGAAUGGCCUUCGAUCCUGGGACGCUUGAGUCUGGUAGAGGUUGGUGGAACUGCGAGUGUAGAGGUGAAAUUCGUAGAUAUUCGCAAGAACACCGGUGGCGAAGGCGGCCAACUGGACCAGUACUGACGCUGAGGCGCGAAAGCGUGGGGAGCAAACAGG